ACGGCAGCACUGCGGCAGGCAGCACGGCUGACGGCUGGAGCCCGACUCUUCGGAGGAAACGGCGGAAAACCGUUCCCUGGGACAAGGAGGACGGAGCAGCCGCGUGGCCGAGGGAGCUSGGAUGCAGCCAGUGCUUGGGCCGUCGCUGCUGGCGCUUUCCUCAUCGGCCAGGUGUUACUCCCUAAGUGAGCUCAAUCCCACCGCUCCGAGAGGGCCGUGCGGCAUCCAGCAGUAGCCCGAAGUGGGUGAUUACUUUCUGUGCUCUCAGAGGUAAGAAGCAGCUGGUGAGGAGCACAUAGCCGCAGCUUAGGCUGGAGCUAUUUACGGGCUGAAGUUAGAAGAGCGUGAAGAAAGAUAAGGAGCUAAAAUGAGAAUACAAUGAAGGUAGCAGAAGCAGUACAGAUGAGUAAUCAAGGGAAAUUCAUUGCUUUGGCAGACACAGGCUGUGGGAGCGGAGUCGGGAGCCCCAGAAGCUUCUCUGCAAUUGCCGGUCCUGAACCAGAGCAAAUGGAAAUUAAUUCUCCUUCCCCAUGUGUCCUUGCAGAAGGGAGCUGCUGCCCAUCCCGUGCAAAGGAGAUGGAGGCACCCCACGUGCAUCUCUCCUCUGGUCRGAAGCGGCAGGGCUCAGGGACCAGAGUCAGGCAGAGGCUGUUCGGAAAAGCUGCUGUCAGCACCUGGAAGUUAAUGUGUGCCGGUGCUUUUGCAACGUGGAGAUGGAGGUGGAAGGGGGCUGUCUGGCCGUCCUGCCUCGCGCUGCCGCCGGAGCUGGAGCGUUUCUGCCGCCCACAGCCCUUCCAGGAGCCCCAGCCACCAGCACCCCUCCGCCGUCCCUGUCCGGCCCCAGGGACCUCCCCGGGGACUGGCCCGGCUCCAGCUCCGCUCAUCCUGGAGAGCAUCUCUGGGAAGGGCUUUUGUGGAGACGUUGUCCCCGCGAAGCUGUCACGCGCGUUGUCACCUUAG
RNAcentral lists this long non-coding RNA (960 nucleotides) under Dromaius novaehollandiae (emu). Its description in RNAcentral is "lncRNA (ENSDNVG00000011490.1)". The record is from RNAcentral. Lineage: Eukaryota; Metazoa; Chordata; Aves; Casuariiformes; Dromaiidae.